This 149-nucleotide small nuclear RNA is filed under the name Acanthochitona rubrolineata. RNAcentral's name for it is "partial U2". It matches the Rfam family "U2 spliceosomal RNA", at positions 24 to 171 of the family's 192-position model. Rfam says of the family: U2 is a small nuclear RNA (snRNA) component of the spliceosome (involved in pre-mRNA splicing). The record is from RNAcentral. Lineage: Eukaryota; Metazoa; Mollusca; Polyplacophora; Chitonida; Acanthochitonidae.
AGAUCAAAGUGUAGUAUCUUUUCUUAUCAGCUUAAUAUCUGAUACGUCCUCCAUCGGAGGACAUCGAUAUUAAACUGAUUUUUGGACUAAGGUGAGAGCUUUGGAGCUUGCUCCCUCCUCACCACGGGUUGGCCCGGUAUUGCACUACC